RNAcentral lists this ribosomal RNA (301 nucleotides) under uncultured bacterium. Its description in RNAcentral is "partial 16S ribosomal RNA". It matches the Rfam family "Bacterial small subunit ribosomal RNA", at positions 509 to 807 of the family's 1533-position model. The record is from RNAcentral.
CAGCAGCCGCGGUAAUACGAACCGUGCGAACGUUAUUCGGAAUUACUGGGCUUAAAGCGCGUGUAGGCGGGCCGCCACGUCGGUUGCUGAAAUCCCCCGGCUCAACCGGGGAAGUGGCAUCGAUACGAGCGGCCUUGAGGGGGGUAGGGGGAUCUGGAACUUCCGGUGGAGCGGUGAAAUGCGUUGAGAUCGGAAGGAACGCCCGUGGCGAAAGCGAGGUCCUGGACCCUUUCUGACGCUGAGACGCGAAAGCCAGGGGAGCGAACGGGAUUAGAUACCCCUGUAGUCCCUGUCUCUUAUU